UACGUAGGGGGCUAGCGUUGUCCGGAAUCACUGGGCGUAAAGCGCACGUAGGCGGAUUGCUAAGUCAGGGGUGAAAUCCUGGAGCUCAACUCCAGAACUGCCUUUGAUACUGGCGAUCUCGAGUCCGGGAGAGGUGAGUGGAACUGCGAGUGUAGAGGUGAAAUUCGUAGAUAUUCGCAAGAACACCAGUGGCGAAGGCGGCUCACUGGCCCGGUACUGACGCUGAGGUGCGAAAGCGUGGGGAGCAAACAGG
RNAcentral lists this ribosomal RNA (253 nucleotides) under uncultured bacterium. RNAcentral describes it as "partial 16S ribosomal RNA". It matches the Rfam family "Bacterial small subunit ribosomal RNA", at positions 524 to 776 of the family's 1533-position model. The record is from RNAcentral.